GAUGAACGCUGGCGGCAUGCUUUACACAUGCAAGUCGAGCGAUCAACCUUAGCUUUCUAAUGUGUUUUGUUGCGGGCGGGCGAGUGAUUUAUCCGUACGUACCUUAUCUUUGGGGCUGACUAACCUACGGAUUAGCUACUACCUCCUACGCCCUUAUUUGGAACGUAGGGUUUCUUCGGACCUUACUUUCUUAUCUCGGCCGAUAUCUGAUUAGCUAGUUGGUGGGGUAAUGGGUUACCAAGGCGACGAUCAGUAGCUGGUCUGAGAGGACGACCAGCCACACUGGAACUGAGACACGGUCCAGACUCCUACGGGAGGCAGCAGUGGGGAAUUUUGGACAAUGGGCGCAAGCCUGAUCCAGCCAGGCCGCGUGAGUGAAGAAGGUCUUCGGGUUGUAAAGCUCUUUUGCAAGGGAAGAAAACAUACCAUAGAAUAAAUGGAGAGGCUGACGGUACCUUGAUAAGAAGCACCGGCUAACUACGUG
RNAcentral lists this ribosomal RNA (484 nucleotides) under uncultured bacterium. RNAcentral describes it as "partial 16S ribosomal RNA". It matches the Rfam family "Bacterial small subunit ribosomal RNA", at positions 28 to 507 of the family's 1533-position model. The record is from RNAcentral.